CAGGAUGAACGCUGGCGGCAUGCCUAAUACAUGCAAGUCGAACGGGGUGCUUGCACCCAGUGGCGAACGGGUGAGUAACACGUAUCUAAUCUACCCAUUAGCGGGGGAUAACAGUUGGAAACGACUGCUAAUACCGCAUACGACAUUUUCUGGCAUCAGAGAAUGUUAAAAGGUCCGUUUGGACCACUAAUGGAUGAGGGUGCGGCGUAUUAGUUAGUUGGUGGGGUAAUGGCCUACCAAGACAGUGAUACGUAGCCGAACUGAGAGGUUGAACGGCCACAUCGGGACUGAGACACGGCCCGAACUCCUACGGGAGGCAGCAGUAGGGAAUUUUUCACAAUGGGCGAAAGCCUGAUGGAGCAAUGCCGCGUGACUGAAGACGGUCUUCGGAUUGUAAAGGUCUGUUGUAAGGGAAGAACAGUAAGUAU
Molecule: ribosomal RNA, 428 nt
Filed under: Spiroplasma endosymbiont of Drosophila neotestacea
Lineage: Bacteria; Bacillati; Mycoplasmatota; Mollicutes; Entomoplasmatales; Spiroplasmataceae
Description: bacterial SSU rRNA
Rfam family: Bacterial small subunit ribosomal RNA
Source: RNAcentral